UGGGUUGUGGCUCAGCGGUAGAGCGCUUGACUAGCACGUGCGAGGCCCUGGGUUCGAUCCUCAGCACCACAU
Ictidomys tridecemlineatus (thirteen-lined ground squirrel) is the source of this 72-nucleotide non-coding RNA. Lineage: Eukaryota; Metazoa; Chordata; Mammalia; Rodentia; Sciuridae. The record is from Rfam.